This 288-nucleotide long non-coding RNA is filed under the name Mytilus galloprovincialis (Mediterranean mussel). The record is from RNAcentral. Lineage: Eukaryota; Metazoa; Mollusca; Bivalvia; Mytilida; Mytilidae.
GCAAUUGAGAUACAAAGUCGUGCGCUGUGUAGAUAUAAAGUCGACCACUGGAUUUGUUACAUCCCGAGUGCUUGAGCUGAAAUGUUAAGAUGUGGACGUUAGAUCUUCCGCGCUGGACUUUAAAUCUUUGAUUCUGUACGAACUCUUUUCACUAAAAAUCUUAAGUGUUAAAUGCAUCUUACAUGUAUGUCUAAAAUAUUCCUUAACAAUUCAACUAAACAUUUUUGUCGUAAGAUUAAUUCUACACUUAAGACUUUUUGUGAAAAGGGGUACUUUAAGAUUUAUGAC